ACAACAGAUCUCCCGGACCGGGUGAAGUUGGCUGCUCAGCGGAAGGCAAAUUGCACCAUCUGCGAGCAGAGUCAGAACAAAAGCCCCUUAACUUUUUCGGUCUGGCCCUGGGCUCUGUGGCGCCCGGCACUCCUUCGGUCUCCAUUCUUGGCUGGACCUUGGACAGGAACCUCUGCAGUACGGUGGUGGUGAAGUGUGGCUGCCUCGCAUCCUGACUCAUGUGAGAGCUGCCGAGGAAGAAGCUGCGGUAAACCAUGGGGGAUGUGAAGCUGGUUGCCUCGUCACACAUUUCCAAAACCUCCCUCAGUGUGGAUCCCUCAAGAGUUGACUCCAUGCCCCUGACAGAGGCCCCUGCUUUCAUUUUGCCCCCUCGGAACCUCUGCAUCAAAGAAGGAGCCACCGCCAAGUUCGAAGGGCGGUCCGGGGUUACCCAGAGCCCCAGGUGACAUGGCACAGAAACGGGCAACCCAUCACCAGCG
This 479-nucleotide long non-coding RNA is filed under the name Homo sapiens (human). Its description in RNAcentral is "non-protein coding lnc-CCDC14-2:2". Lineage: Eukaryota; Metazoa; Chordata; Mammalia; Primates; Hominidae. The record is from RNAcentral.